RNAcentral lists this ribosomal RNA (447 nucleotides) under uncultured Enterobacteriaceae bacterium. RNAcentral describes it as "bacterial SSU rRNA". It matches the Rfam family "Bacterial small subunit ribosomal RNA", at positions 936 to 1382 of the family's 1533-position model. Lineage: Bacteria; Pseudomonadati; Pseudomonadota; Gammaproteobacteria; Enterobacterales; Enterobacteriaceae. The record is from RNAcentral.
AGCAUGUGGUUUAAUUCGAUGCAACGCGAAGAACCUUACCUACUCUUGACAUCCAGAGAAUUCGCUAGAGAUAGCUUAGUGCCUUCGGGAACUCUGAGACAGGUGCUGCAUGGCUGUCGUCAGCUCGUGUUGUGAAAUGUUGGGUUAAGUCCCGCAACGAGCGCAACCCUUAUCCUUUGUUGCCAGCGAGUAAUGUCGGGAACUCAAAGGAGACUGCCGGUGAUAAACCGGAGGAAGGUGGGGAUGACGUCAAGUCAUCAUGGCCCUUACGAGUAGGGCUACACACGUGCUACAAUGGCAUAUACAAAGAGAAGCGAACUCGCGAGAGCAAGCGGACCUCAUAAAGUAUGUCGUAGUCCGGAUUGGAGUCUGCAACUCGACUCCAUGAAGUCGGAAUCGCUAGUAAUCGUAGAUCAGAACGCUACGGUGAAUACGUUCUCGGGGUUU